AGCAGCCGCGGUAAUUCCAGCUCCAAUAGCGUAUAUUAAAGUUGUUGCAGUUAAAAAGCUCGUAGUUGAAUUUCGGGAUCAAUCUAUCGGUCGUGCAAUAGUACGUACUGAUUUUAUUGAUUCCUCCCUUCUGAUGAACUAUGAUGUCAUUAAUUUGGUGUCAUAGGGAAUCAGGACUGUUACUUUGAAAAAAUUAGAGUGUUUAAAGCAGGCUCACGCUUGAAUACAUUAGCAUGGAAUAACGAAAUAGGACGUUUGAUUCUAUUUUGUUGGUUUCUAGGAUCGACGUAAUGAUUAAUAGGGAUAGUUGGGGGCAUUAGUAUUCAAUUGUCAGAGGUGAAAUUCUUGGAUUUAUUGAAGACUAACUACUGCGAAAGCAUUUGCCAAGGAUGUUUUCAUUAAUCAAGAACGAAAGUUAGGGGAUCGAAGACGAUCAGAUACCGUCGUAGUCUUAACCGUAAACUAUGCCGACUAGGGAUCGGAUGAUGUUAAUUUUUAAUGACUCAUUC
This 509-nucleotide ribosomal RNA is filed under the name uncultured Glomus. RNAcentral's name for it is "SSU rRNA". It matches the Rfam family "Eukaryotic small subunit ribosomal RNA", at positions 569 to 1081 of the family's 1831-position model. Lineage: Eukaryota; Fungi; Glomeromycota; Glomeromycetes; Glomerales; Glomeraceae. The record is from RNAcentral.